Papaver somniferum (opium poppy) is the source of this 572-nucleotide long non-coding RNA. RefSeq lists it as uncharacterized. The transcript has 4 exons. The record is from RefSeq and is a predicted model, not a curated record. NCBI's taxonomy places the organism in Eukaryota, Viridiplantae, Streptophyta, Magnoliopsida, Ranunculales, Papaveraceae.
CUCCUCUUUCUCUUCCACUAGUCCACCGAUUUGAUUAUGAAAACACUCUAGCAGGUGACAAUGACUACACUUGGGGAGAUGUUCCAAGCUGCUCGUCUGCGAUUGUGCAAAGGUGAUCACCUCAGAAAAUAAGCCUGUGAGGUGGACUACUCCUCUUGGGCUCCCAGUUGUGCAACCUUACCGCAAACCUGGAAGACAUCUUGUGAGUUUUCAACAGUAGAAGUAGAUACUAAUGUAGUCAAGAAUUCCUCGAAAAUGUAAGAACUUCCCUUUAGGUUUUAGCUUUGCAGAUAUACAAGGAUCUUCCAAGAUAGAUACAAAUAUUGUUCAGGUAUACAAGGAUCUUUCAAGAAAUAUUCAAAUCAUGUGAAGAUAUACAAGGAUCUUUCAAGAUAAACAUAAAUCUGUGGAAGAUAGACAUGGAUCUUCAAGGAUAAGUACAAAUCUAGGUAGUUAUUUUGGAUAACUACAAAUCUAGGGUUAUUAUGGAACCAAAUUAGGGUGUUUUGGCUAAAAUCCAACUCAAAGGAAGAUGAAAUUCUCGGUUUGCUAACCACACAUAACUAUUGUAA